GAAUUCGCCCUUAGAGUUUGAUCCUGGCUCAGGACGAACGCUGGCGGCGUGCUUAACACAUGCAAGUCGAACGAAGCUUGAUGAUUGAUUUCUUCGGAAAGAAAUUCGAUAUGACUGAGUGGCGGACGGGUGAGUAACGCGUGAGCAACCUGCCCUUCAGAGGGGGAUAGCGUCUGGAAACGGACGGUAAUACCGCAUAACGUACAAAGGCCGCAUGACCAUUGUACCAAAACUGAGGUGCUGAAGGAUGGGCUCGCGUUGGAUUAGAUAGUUGGUGGGGUAACGGCCUACCAAGUCGGCGAUCCAUAGCCGGACUGAGAGGUUGAACGGCCACAUUGGGACUGAGACACGGCCCAGACUCCUACGGGAGGCAGCAGUGGGGAAUACUGCACAAUGGGGGAAACCCUGAUGCAGCAACGCCGCGUGAAGGAAGACGGUUUUCGGAUUGUAAACUUCUGUUCUUAGUGAAGAUAGUGACGGUAGCUAAGGAGCAAGCCACGGCUAACUACGUGCCAGCAGCCGCGGUAAUACGUAGGUGGCAAGCGUCGUCCGGAAUUACUGGGUGUAAAGGGAGCGCAGGCGGGGAGCCAAGUCAGCUGUGAAAACUACAGGCUUAACUUGUAGACUGCAGUUGAAACUGGUUUUCUUGAGUGAAGUAGAGGUUGGCGGAAUUCCGAGUGUAGCGGUGAAAUGCGUAGAUAUUCGGAGGAACACCGGUGGCGAAGGCGGCCAACUGGGCUCUAACUGACGCUGAGGCUCGAAAGUGUGGGGAGCAAACAGGAUUAGAUACCCUGGUAGUCCACACUGUAAACGAUGAUUGCUAGGUGGUGGGGGGUCUGAACCCCUUCCGUGGCCCAGCUAACGCAAUAAG
Molecule: ribosomal RNA, 871 nt
Filed under: uncultured bacterium
Lineage: Bacteria
Description: bacterial SSU rRNA
Rfam family: Bacterial small subunit ribosomal RNA
Source: RNAcentral